Molecule: ribosomal RNA, 472 nt
Filed under: uncultured bacterium
Lineage: Bacteria
Description: partial 16S ribosomal RNA
Rfam family: Bacterial small subunit ribosomal RNA
Source: RNAcentral
GAUGAACGCUAGCGGCAGGCCUAAUACAUGCAAGUCGAACGGGUGGUCGCAAGACCACUAGUGGCGCACGGGUGCGUAACGCGUAACCAACCUGCCCCGAUCUGGGGGAUAGCCCGCCGAAAGGCGGAUUAAUACCGCAUAUACCCGCAGCCUGGCAUCAGGCAACGGGGAAAGAUUUAUUGGAUCGGGAUGGGGUUGCGUGACAUUAGCUAGUUGGCGGGGUAAGGGCCCACCAAGGCGACGAUGUCUAGGGGACCUGAGAGGGUGAUCCCCCACACUGGCACUGAGAUACGGGCCAGACUCCUACGGGAGGCAGCAGUAGGGAAUAUUGGGCAAUGGGCGAGAGCCUGACCCAGCCGUGCCGCGUGCCGGAUGAAGGCCUUCUGGGUUGUAAACGGCUUUUCUCAGGGAAGAAAAAGACCUUGCGAGGUACACUGACGGUACCUGAGGAAUAAGCACCGGCUAACUCCGU